RNAcentral lists this transfer RNA (74 nucleotides) under Moraxella bovoculi 237. It matches the Rfam family "tRNA". Rfam says of the family: Transfer RNA (tRNA) molecules are approximately 80 nucleotides in length. Lineage: Bacteria; Pseudomonadati; Pseudomonadota; Gammaproteobacteria; Moraxellales; Moraxellaceae. The record is from Rfam by way of RNAcentral.
GGGCCUAUAGCUCAGUCGGUUAGAGCAGAGGACUCAUAAUCCUUUGGUCCACAGUUCGAGUCUGUGUGGGCCCA